RNAcentral lists this unclassified non-coding RNA (227 nucleotides) under Hevea brasiliensis (rubber tree). Lineage: Eukaryota; Viridiplantae; Streptophyta; Magnoliopsida; Malpighiales; Euphorbiaceae. The record is from RNAcentral.
CAGUGCUAUAUGUAAGAGUUGCUGUCAGUUUUCCCAGACCAUAUGACAGAGCUUUUAGGAUUCUGGAUAUCCCCUUCUCCCCGACGUGAUUGGAUGAGGGAACUAUACUCCAGAUUUCUGAUGGGUCAUCAUGCAACUUAACAUCAUCAUUUUCCGUAAGGUAAACUCUUGUUGUGCCCAUGUUCCUUUCGAGAAAACCAUUACUUGAAUGAGAUAUUCCCGACCAG